RNAcentral lists this ribosomal RNA (301 nucleotides) under uncultured bacterium. RNAcentral's name for it is "partial 16S ribosomal RNA". It matches the Rfam family "Bacterial small subunit ribosomal RNA", at positions 509 to 808 of the family's 1533-position model. The record is from RNAcentral.
CAGUAGCCGCGGUAAUACGAAGGGGGCUAGCGUUGUUCGGAUUUACUGGGCGUAAAGGGCGCGUAGGCGGACUGAUAGGUCAGGGGUGAAAUCCCAAGGCUCAACCUUGGAACUGCCUUUGAUACUGUUUGUCUUGAGUUCGAGAGAGGUAAGUGGAACUGCGAGUGUAGAGGUGAAAUUCGUAGAUAUUCGCAAGAACACAGUGGCGAAGGCGGCUUACCGGCUCGAAACUGACGCUGAGGCGCGAAAGCGUGGGGAGCAAACAGGAUUAGAUACCCGAGUAGUCCCUGUCUCUUAUACA